RNAcentral lists this long non-coding RNA (1133 nucleotides) under Prunus dulcis (almond). Its description in RNAcentral is "sRNA ncRNA". Lineage: Eukaryota; Viridiplantae; Streptophyta; Magnoliopsida; Rosales; Rosaceae. The record is from RNAcentral.
GGCCUGUCUAUAAAAGAAAGAUGAUGCAAGGCAACUAAGUGUGGUUAAGUAGCUAGAAACUUGUGAGUCCAGGAAAAACCAUCAAGGGAAGAAGAGAGAGAGCAUGCAAGGCGACCAAGUGUGGUUAAGUAGCAAGGCAACCAAGUGUGGUUAAGUAGCUAGAAACUAGUGAGCCCAAGUGAGUCCAAGAAAAACCAUCAAGGGAAGAAGAGAGAGAGCAUGCAAGGCAACCAAGUGUGGUUAAGUAGCUAGAAACUAGUGAGUCUAGGAAAAACCAUCAAGGGAAGAAUAGAGAGAGCAAUCAGCUCAAGUUAGGAGCUGAGUUGGAGUCUUGUAAGUCUAGACACCAAGGAGGGGAAACACCAAGUGUGAGAGAGUAUUCACAAGUGCAUCAAAGUGAGAGCAAGGAGUGAGAGAGAAAAGAGAGCUUGGGGAGAGAAUAGAGUUCAAAGGGGUUUUUCUUUGUAAACCAAGGUUGUAACUUAUUCUUUCAUUAGUGAAUUUCUGAAGGGGCUCACCAAGAGGAUGUAGGCAAUUGCUGAACCUCUAUAAAUACUUGUGUCAUUUUGUGCUUGGUUAUUUUCUGCAAGUGUAUGAGUGUGUGAUUCAUCCAUCCUUGUGUUUGUCACAAAGUCCAUCAACGACAAGAUCAAUGGGAGUCAAGCCAUAAUUCACAACAAGUGGUAUCAGAGCUGUGUUUGAGCAGCAUGCAUGUACUAGUGUGUUGAAGAUGGCAGGUGACAAGGAAGCUGAAGGUGGAAGCAGUUCUAUGCAACAGAGGCAACCACAAGCUGUCAGCAUGAAGGUGGUUGAAGCCUUUCACAGUGAAGGACAACUUCACCUUAUGGCAAAGAGACCAAUCCUGCUUCUGAUAUUUUAUUUUCAACUGAUUUGCUUAGGAAAAAUAGAGAACAAGUUUUAUUUUUUGCGAUCUCUGUUGAUAAACGAGUAAUUGUUGAUGACCCUUCUUUUCUUUUUCUUUCUUUUGGCCUUUUUGGGUUGUUUUUGUGUUUUGUCUGUUUGGGACAGUGUCUUACUGCCAAACAAGAAGUCUUAUAAAGGAUGGAGUAGCACGUGCUAGCUCGCAACUUAUAUAUAUGCCCCAAUAUAUCAGAAUUCAGUCAUUUGUUUGC